UAACAGCUAUUAAAGGAGGGGACCUUCGGGCCUUCCACCUGAAGAUGAGUCCGCGGCCCAUUAGCUUGUUGGUGGGGUAACGGCCUACCAAGGCAACGAUGGGUAGCCGGCCUGAGAGGGCGAUCGGCCACAUUGGGACUGAGAUACGGCCCAAACUCCUACGGGAGGCAGCAGUUAAGAAUCUUGCGCAAUGGGCGAAAGCCUGACGCAGCGACGCCGCGUGGACGAUGAAGGCCUUAGGGUUGUAAAGUCCAUUAUGCAGGGAAGAAUAAGCAGGUUACAACAUGGCCUGUGAUGACGGUACCUGCUGAAAGCCUCGGCUAACUACGUGCCAGCAGCCGCGGUAACACGUAUGAGGUAAGCGUUGUUCGGAAUUAUUGGGCGUAAAGGGCGUGUAGGCGGGGAACUAAGUUAGAUGUGAAAGCCAUGGGCUCAACCCGUGAAUUGCAUCUAAUACUGGUUCUCUUGAGUUCGGGAGAGGAGAGCGGAAUUCCCGGUGUAGCGGUGAAAUGCGUAGAUAUCGGGAAGAACACCAGUGGCGAAGGCGGCUCUCUGGCCUAUAACUGACGCUAAGGCGCGAAAGCGUGGGGAGCGAACGGGAUUAGAUACCCCGGUAGUCCACGCCGUAAACGUUGUAUACUAGGUGUUAGUGGAUUUAUUCACUAGUGCCGAAGCUAACGCAUUAAGUAUACCGCCUGGGGAGUACACUCGCAAGGGUGAAACUCAAAGAAAUUGACGGGGGCCCGCACAAGCGGUGGAUCAUGUGGUUUAAUUCGAUGAUACGCGAAGAACCUUACCUGGGCUUGAACUGUACCUGACAGGUGUAGAGAUACACCCUCCUUCGGGCAGGUAUAGACGUGCUGCAUGGUUGUCGUCAGCUCGUGUCGUGAGAUGUUGGGUUAAGUCCCGCAACGAGCGCAACCCUUACUCCUUGUUGCUAGCAGGUUAAGCUGAGCACUCUAGGGGGACUGCCGGUUAUAAACCGGAGGAAGGUGAGGAUGACGUCAAAUCAGCACGGCCUUUAUGUCCAGGGCUACACACGUGAUACAAUGGUCGGUACAAAGAGUUGCGAGACCGCGAGGUGGAGCUAAUCUCAAAAAAACCGACCUCAGUUCGGAUUGCAGUCUGCAACUCGACUGCAUGAAGUUGGAAUCGCUAGUAAUCGCAGAUCAGCACGCUGCGGUGAAUACGUUCCCGGGCCUUGUACACU
RNAcentral lists this ribosomal RNA (1210 nucleotides) under metagenome. RNAcentral describes it as "bacterial SSU rRNA". It matches the Rfam family "Bacterial small subunit ribosomal RNA", at positions 192 to 1389 of the family's 1533-position model. The record is from RNAcentral.